CCCUUAGAUGUUCUGGGCCGCACGCGCGCUACACUGAUGCAUUCAACGAGUUUCUUCCUGGUCCGAGAGGAAUGGGUAACCUUUUGAAAGUGCAUCGUGAUAGGGAUAGACUAUUGCAAUUAUUGGUCUUCAACGAGGAAUUCCUAGUAGACGCAGUUCAUCAGACUGCAUCGAUUACGUCCCUGCCCUUUGUACACACCGCCCGUCGCUCCUACCGAUUGAAUGCUCAGGUGAGCCAUUCGGACUUUCAUCAUGCUGGUUUCCAGUUUUGAUGAAGGAAAGUCUUGCGAACCUUAUCAUUUAGAGGAAGGAGAAGUCGUAACA
Molecule: ribosomal RNA, 324 nt
Filed under: uncultured eukaryote
Lineage: Eukaryota
Description: partial 18S ribosomal RNA
Rfam family: Eukaryotic small subunit ribosomal RNA
Source: RNAcentral